GCGAGGAUGUGGAUGGAGAGCAGCAGAUACAUCGCCCCACCAUGUUGGGUUCCUGGUGUACCACUCCAUUGUCAUCUUUAGCCCUUCUUGCCAAGGAGUUCUUUCCUGCCACCCAAGUUUCUUGAGCUUUUGAUCAUCCAAGAAAUAUCUCUGAUCAUUGAAAGGUCUGUCUUGAACGAAGUUUAUGGCUUUUUUAGCAUCUAAUCCAAAUAGCUUACAAAUGUCCUCCGCUACAUCUAGGACUCGUCUCUCCUUCUUGGUACCAAUAUUGUACACAUGUCCAAUAACCCCCUUAUGAAGUAUGACAUCAAACGCCUCUGCAACAUCGUCACAGUGUAGAUAGCUUCUCACA
This 352-nucleotide unclassified non-coding RNA is filed under the name Hevea brasiliensis (rubber tree). Lineage: Eukaryota; Viridiplantae; Streptophyta; Magnoliopsida; Malpighiales; Euphorbiaceae. The record is from RNAcentral.